AACCAUCACAACCCUACUACUCCCCUCUCACCUCACUUCUGCACACCCACACACACUUCGCCCCCUCUUUUCACUUUCCCUCUCCUCAGGAAAUUGCAGCAGCACUCACCUUUAACAAUGUCGCACUUCGGCAGAGCUGGUCCUCCUGACAUUCGCGACACCUACUCUCUCCUCGUCCUCAACAUCACCUUCCGUACUACUGCGGAUGAUUUGUACCCUUUGUUCGAUAGGUAUGGCAAGGUUGUCGAUGUCUUCAUCCCUCGUGACCGCAGAACUGGUGAAUCUCGUGGGUUUGCUUUUGUUCGAUACAAGUAUCAAGAUGAAGCUGCCAAAGCUGUUGAAAAGCUUGAUGGCAAGGUCGUUGAUGGCAGAGAGAUAAUGGUUCAGUUUGCAAAAUAUGGUCCUAAUGCUGAGAAAAUUCAGAAGGGGAGAAUACUAGAGCCAGUCAAGACAAAGGGAAGAUCAAGAAGCCCUCGUCCUAGACAUCGGGAUGACCACAGGGACAGAGAUUAUAGAAGGAGAAGUCGCAGUAGGAGCAGAGACAGGUCUGAUAGAGACAGGUAUCGUGGGAGGGAGAAAGAUUACCGCCGUCGAAGCAGCAGGAGCUACAGUAGAAGUCCAGACCGUCGCAAAGAUGAUGGUAAAGGGAGGUAUGAUGAUGAGAGGCGAAGCCGAAGCAGAUCAUAUGGAAGUGCCUCACCUCGUAGAGCCAGUCCCAGUCCUAGGAGAAGCCCCUCACCAAGGAGAAGCCCCUCACCAAGGGCAUCUCCUAAGGAUGAAAGUCCUAAUGGACGUGCUCGUGAGGAGCGAUCUCCAGCUCCCAGAAGUGCAUCACCACGUGGGCGACCAGCUACUAGGAGUAUAUCGCCACGUGGGCGACCAGCUGAUUCUCGUAGUCAGUCUCCCCGCAAAUCUGAUGUAGAUGAGUAAAGGUCGCUGCACUCGACUAAUGCUAUGAUCAAUGCUUCUAAUGCCAGCUCAGUCUGCCGGAGAGCCUUUUGCAUGUCCAUGUUGUUCAGUGCUUGACUUGAAUUGAAGUGUUUGUUCAAAGUUAGAACUUUCUUAGUUGAAUUCCAUGCUCCUAUCAACUUUUCUUGCACGUGAACUGCUGUAGCUGCGCACGUGAGCUCGUUGCUGUAGCUGCUCACCCUAUUUAUUGCUAGUUUUAGUUUUGGUGUUGAUGAAUCAAUGCCCUACCUUGGACCAUGGUAGCUGAAUGCAGCUGAUUACUUUGACUAUAUCUCUCUACACUAGAGCAUGUGAGCUCGUGAUUGUAGCUGUGUUCCUGAGCUCGUUGCUCUAGCUGCUUGAGGGAUAGAUAUACGUUCGUUAGAUCAAUUAUCCCUGCCUAUGCUGCUGUUGGCUCCUGCUUUAUUGCUUAUUUUCCUGCUGAUUAUACUGGUUCGUGUGAGCCUGUGGCCGUAGAUGACAGAUUGAUAGGCAAUUCGUUUGUAGAUCGUAUGAAUGAUGCUGACUUGCUGCUGGCAGCACCUGAUUUAUUGCCUUGCCUUUCGCGGUUGAUGACUAAAUUCCUGCAUUUGAUUCCCUUGCUGAUUUCAGCUAUCAACUUGGAGUAGUUCGUUGUUGUCUUCCAUUUUGAUUUACUAUUAAAGCCUGAUGAUAUUUUUUAGUAGGAAGGUUUGCUUUACUUGGUCGCGUUUAAUUGCAUAAUUUUGUCAAUCUACACUGGUAAAAUUUGUACCAUAUGUUAACAGCAAUUGACAAACAAAAGUUUAUAGUAUUCCUUGCUUACAUUGGAAUUUAAGAGAAUUUUGCGUUCU
This is an RNA transcript of Chenopodium quinoa (quinoa), 1781 nucleotides long. It is a transcript of the gene named serine/arginine-rich splicing factor SC35-like, with no coding region annotated. The record is from RefSeq and is a predicted model, not a curated record. NCBI's taxonomy places the organism in Eukaryota, Viridiplantae, Streptophyta, Magnoliopsida, Caryophyllales, Amaranthaceae. The transcript is spliced from 10 exons.